Molecule: ribosomal RNA, 466 nt
Filed under: uncultured bacterium
Lineage: Bacteria
Description: partial 16S ribosomal RNA
Rfam family: Bacterial small subunit ribosomal RNA
Source: RNAcentral
GACGGACGCUGGCGGCGUGCUUAACACAUGCAAGUCGAACGGAAAGGCCCUUCUUGGGGGGUGUGCUCGUGGGGCGAACGUGUGUAUAACACGUGAGUAACCUGCCCGUGACUGUGGUAUAACUUCAGGAAACUGGGUCUAAUACCGGAUAGGAGCUCCUUGUGCAUUGUGGGUUGUGAAGAUUUGCCGGUUGGGGGUGGAGUCGCGGGUUUUAUGCUUGUUGGUGGGGUGGAGGCUUACAACGGCUUUGUCGGGUGGCCGGCUGGAGAGGGUGACCGGCACAAUUGGGCCUGAGAUCCGGCCAAGACUCCUACGGGAGGAAGAAGUGGGGAAUAUUGAAAAAUGGGCGGAACCCUGAUGAAGAAACGCCGCGUGCGGGAUGACGGCCUUCGGGUUGUAACCCGCUUUGGCCUGUGACGAAGCGUGAGUGACGGUAAUGGGUAAAGAAGCACCGGCUAACUACGUG